Long non-coding RNA from Leopardus geoffroyi (Geoffroy's cat), 3061 nucleotides. RefSeq lists it as uncharacterized. The record is from RefSeq and is a predicted model, not a curated record. NCBI's taxonomy places the organism in Eukaryota, Metazoa, Chordata, Mammalia, Carnivora, Felidae. The transcript is spliced from 3 exons.
GUGUGUGUGUGUGUGUAUUUAAUUCUGCUGAACCAGAAGGGAAGAAUUGGGUGGAAUAAUAUCUACUUGCUGAACAGAGGUAUAGUGACACUUGCUAUCCAACCCCAGCUAAAGAGUUCCUGUGUUUUUAACUAAAGGUGGUAUUAGAAGUGUUAUUGGCAAUGUUGUUUUCCUUUUCAUUGUUAAGUGCAUUCAUUAACUCUAAUUGAUAUUUCAGGGCCUGUAUCUUGGUUGAUAAAAGCUUAGGAUAAAGUAUGAUUCUCCUAUUUUUAGGUUUUGGAAAAAACACAGCUCUUAGGAAAAAGCGGUGUGCAACAUGACAAAGGACGAGCCUGUUCCCCCUCGCUACCCCCAGGCAUGCGGUGAAGGGCACUAAAUGACCUUGGAAGCUCCAUAAUUCAAUAGAGUUUCACGUGAAUGAGGCAUUAUUUGAUCUGAAAGCUACAGGGAUCAGGCCAAGAAAAGCUUGCUUCGAAAGCCGGAGGAGAGAACCACAGGGGGAAAUGUACGAGAACGUUGAGGAUGCUUUCGCUGCACCGGCCAACGCGUGACUUUGUCUAUUACAAAUCUGAUUUUAAUGUGGUCCGUGAAUUCUGCACUGGAAAAAAAAAAAAAGAAAGGAAAAGAAAAGGGGAAAAACAUUCAGGUUGCCAAGGCCAGUCUACGAGGACUCAGAGCCACAGAUGAACAAAAGUCCGGAUCAGCUACUUAAUCUAACUCAAAAGUGACCUCCUUCAGGAAGCCUCCCGGCCCUCCCCCAUCAAGGCCGAGGUGAAAGUCUGUCGUGGGUUGUGUCUCUUGUCAUCUUCAGCCCUUCUUUCAGCGAACUUCUCAUGUGUAUUGCCAACGGGGGUUUGUCUGUCACACUAGUAGACUGGUGGCCCUUAAUGGCAGCUGUGGGAGAAAGACCUGGUUUAUGGCAGGUGUUCAACAAAUAUUUGCUGAGCAAAUGCGCCAGUUUAUGUAGAGAAGAUAAAAUUCACGUGGUCUGUACUCAGAAGCCAACUGAUGAUGUUCUCUGGGGUGACAAAGAGAAAACAAGAGGCGACUGAGGAAGAAAAAAAGAUGAACCCCGCAAUAUCCUAAUAUUGACAUGGUUCUCUUCCGAUGGUUGAGGUUUCCGACCAGGGCUGCUGAGUUGGUUGGGCGGAGAAGGAGAGGUGGAUCCUCAACCAUACCUCAGUUUUCAGUUCGUAUGAUGUUUUGGCUGGAAUUCUGGGUCCGUUACCAAGAGACUAGGACACACACGCCUCUCCUCUGGGAACCAAGAGGUAAGAACAGCAACAACCAGCUACAGCCAGAAGCUCUAUUGAGGAAAAGGGAAAGCAGAAAGAUUAAUGUUGCGAGCUCUUCCUGUGUGUUCCGCGCCAGUAGGCAAUUUCUCACCUUCUCUGAUGUAUCCUCUUGACUUUUCUGGAGGUAGAAUUGCCUUAAAUCUUUACCUGUGAAGGAAAUCAGAGGCAAAGGAAUUAGGAGACUAAUCUGCACGAAGUCAGAUAGCUAGCCAGGGAGAAGUUGAGUUGGACACAAAGUAACCACCCUCUGGAAACUCAGAUGGACCGCGAUUUAAAAGCCAAGCAAUGGCCGCCCCCAAAUAGGGGAGUCCCUGUCCUAAUACUAACACAGGAAAUGACCAGGAUGUUGAGAUAUCUCCCUUUAACUUUAUUUUACAUGUGAAGUACAAAAAAAAAAAAAAAAAAAAGACAGAAUCUAUCAGGAAAAAUGAAUUCAGCUCCUCUGGUUGCCGCGGAGACAAACUACUUACCAACCACCUCCGAACCUUUUUCGUGGGGAACAACCACAAUUGAGAUUUCUAACUUCCAAGAAUUGUAUUCAAGGAGGACUGGCUCCCACUCGUUCACAGUCUGGAUUUGAAAACCAAAAUUGAGGGGGGCCUCCUGUACUCAUUUCCUGGUGUUGAAAAUCUGAGUAGCAAAAACUACUUAAAUCUUAGAGCUUUGUUUCAAGAUCCUGAAUGGAGGCAAGUUUCCGUUUCCUGAGAGGUGUGUACAUUGUGUGUGUGUGUGUGUGUGUGUGAGAGAGAGAGAGAGAAAGAAAGAGAGAGAGAGAGAGAGAGAGAGACAGGGCAAGACAGAGGGCUCUCUAGAAGCUAUUUGAAAUGCCAUUCUAUAGAAUUACACAUAAAACACGAGAGUAAAAAUUAGUUUGUCUCCAAAAGCAUUCUUUAAAUAAGAAUGAAUUUGAGCCAGAAGAAAAGCAGCAUUGUCCUCCCUGGAAAUACCCUCUGCAACACUUGUGAGACAUUGGUUAAACGUGGAGACACAGCUAGUGAAGACAUCCGUGUAUUUACAGACUCAGGGCUGCUACCUAGGCAGGGAAACACGGGGAAGCUGGGCGCUCACCUGAACUCCUUCUCUGGGAAUGGAGGCUUCGUAUGAGAGUGGGUUUAGGGUGGCUGCCGUGUGUGGGUUCAAACAAAGUCCAGAGAAUAGGGCCUGGCGUGAAGUGACACUGGAAUCAGAGAGGCGGUCCUAAGGCAGCAUUAAUUGCAGGUGGAGACGGGACGAAAGUAGGCGUUGGUGGAGGGGCCAGCUACUGGAGACGGGAGCCAGGGAAGGCAUCAGCGUGGGGGUAGAGGGUAGCGUUGUGGAGUUUCUCUGUGGUGCUGGCAGGUAAGCCCCGAGUCUGUGCCAGGCUACCGAAGCAUUAGCCCGUGGUGGACACUGGUUGAGUUCAGCGGGGGAACUGGAGAACACCAGCCCCUUCCUUUCAUAGAAGAGGGCGCCGCGAGUCGGAGGGCAGACAAGUCGUGUGAGGACACCCAGGAAGUGAGAGCUGAAACCACAGCUCAAGUGGCUUGCGGUCUUCUUGGCUGUUUCGAUAAACACAGCCACUGACCGGUACAUUGCUUUCAACCAGCCUUCACGGCUGCCUGUUAUUUCUUUAUUUCAUUAUCUGUGUUCGGUCAGUUGAUGAUAGAAAGAAGCGGGGGAUUUCAGCAGACCGUAAACUUCCCUGAAAUCAUUACCUGUACACUGAACACUAUUUAAUGGCUAUUGGGAUAUAAUCAGUGAACUGAGGUCAGUGUCGGGUGCUGAUU